UGUCGAUCGAAGUGCGACGAUGCCCAGGCUGUAGAGGGGGUGCGCGAGGAAGCCGGUGCGAAUCCGGCACGGUCCCGCCACUGUGACCGGGCCUUGGGAUCCGGGAGUCAGGAACUCGACCCCCGACUCAUCGACCG
RNAcentral lists this non-coding RNA (137 nucleotides) under Saccharothrix sp. Lineage: Bacteria; Bacillati; Actinomycetota; Actinomycetes; Pseudonocardiales; Pseudonocardiaceae. The record is from RNAcentral.